Xenia sp. Carnegie-2017 is the source of this 98-nucleotide long non-coding RNA. RefSeq lists it as uncharacterized. The transcript is spliced from 3 exons. The record is from RefSeq and is a predicted model, not a curated record. NCBI's taxonomy places the organism in Eukaryota, Metazoa, Cnidaria, Anthozoa, Malacalcyonacea, Xeniidae.
AAGCAGUGGAAUCAAAGCAACAUUAAAUUCUAGGCCAUUGACUUACACGUACGACGAGAUGGGUAGUGAACAACUAACUCCGUCGCAUUUGGUGACGG